GCUUUCAUAGUUCAGUUGGUUAGAGUACCUGUUUAGUAAGUGGGAGGUCUUUGAGUUCAAAUCUUAAUGAAAACA
This 75-nucleotide transfer RNA is filed under the name Zingiber officinale. It matches the Rfam family "tRNA". From Rfam's summary of the family: Transfer RNA (tRNA) molecules are approximately 80 nucleotides in length. Their secondary structure includes four short double-helical elements and three loops (D, anti-codon, and T loops). Lineage: Eukaryota; Viridiplantae; Streptophyta; Magnoliopsida; Zingiberales; Zingiberaceae. The record is from Rfam by way of RNAcentral.